CUAUACUUACCCGUGGACGUAACAUAAAUUAGGUGAAUCACGUAAAUAACUGCGUCCAUUUUUAACUUUAUUUUCUCAAUUCCAUUAUUUUUCAGCCAAAUUCGACCCCAGCGUUUUCUCCCAACAUACACUGUGUGUACGGAAGAACAUGAGGGCUUCAGAAGCCCUCUAGAUUACACACAAACAUGCCAGAGUCCUUUCUGUAGAAAUGGAUUUUUUCCAAAAAGAAAAAGGGACUGGAUUCGUGCUGCCUAAAAUCCACAAGUCAGAUCUUUUUCCCCUAAAAGUUAAAAUCCCAAUAUUCAAUCGAAUUCCAGUUUCAGUUCAUUCUCUCUUCAUAAAAAAGGUUACAAAUCACUUACAAGUCAACAACCCCAUUACUCAUAAAUAGGUAAAAAAUACUUUCACUUUUUCUUGUUUUAAUUUCCAAAAGUAAAUCGUUUUGUCUGUUUCAAUUGAUUGUAAUUCUUGUCGAACAAAAUGGUGGUUUUAUUUUUAUCUUGGUGGGUUUCUUUUGAAAUUUUAUUGUUGAUGGGUCAAGAUUUUAUUUUAUUUUUUAAAAUUCAACAGGAGAGGUGUAGAGAUGCAGCAACCGGGACAGAUGUUCCCAGUUAUGUCUUCAUUUCCACCUGCUAGUAUUACUACCGAGCAGAUUCAGAAGGUAUUCGUGUUUUGGUUUAUUUAUUUCUUUAAAUUGACGAAAAUUUUUGAUAUUUGCUUUAUUGGAAUAUGUUUGUGAGUAAUAAUGCUAGUCUGAUUAUCAUUUUUCCCCCUUUCUGUAUGGUGAUUAACUUAGUUAUGAGUUAUCUGGCCUAUCUAUCGUAAAUCUUCGCUGAAUAAUGAUUCAGCCAAGUAAAUAGUGGAAUUACUACUUCAAGGUGUAUAGAAGUAACCAUGGUUUAAAUUUUAGUUGAAAAUGCAAGUAUGUGGACGUAGACAUAAUCAGAAUUGCACCUUUGUUUCGUUUAGGAUGAAUAUAGAUUUAUGUACUUGAAUGAAUCUUUGCUUGGUCACCUCUAACUGUGUACAGUUGCUUAUAAGCUUUACCUGUCAAAAUUAUUCCAAGAUGAUGUAGGUUCCAUUUAACUAAUCGUCCACAAAUUCAUAUCUAAAUUGCAUUGAAGAACUUACCUUCCUUUUUGUGCACAAA
RNAcentral lists this long non-coding RNA (1150 nucleotides) under Olea europaea subsp. europaea. Lineage: Eukaryota; Viridiplantae; Streptophyta; Magnoliopsida; Lamiales; Oleaceae. The record is from RNAcentral.